GAUCAUUACCGAGUGAGGGCCCUCUGGGUCCAACCUCCCACCCGUGUCUAUCGUACCUUGUUGCUUCGGCGGGCCCGCCGUUUCGACGGCCGCCGGGGAGGCCUUGCGCCCCCGGGCCCGCGCCCGCCGAAGACCCCAACAUGAACGCUGUUCUGAAAGUAUGCAGUCUGAGUUGAUUAUCGUAAUCAGUUAAAACUUUCAACAACGGAUCUCUUGGUUCCGGCAUCGAUGAAGAACGCAGCGAAAUGCGAUAAGUAAUGUGAAUUGCAGAAUUCAGUGAAUCAUCGAGUCUUUGAACGCACAUUGCGCCCCCUGGUAUUCCGGGGGGCAUGCCUGUCCGAGCGUCAUUGCUGCCCUCAAGCACGGCUUGUGUGUUGGGCCCCCGUCCCCCUCUCCCGGGGGACGGGCCCGAAAGGCAGCGGCGGCACCGCGUCCGGUCCUCGAGCGUAUGGGGCUUUGUCACCUGCUCUGUAGGCCCGGCCGGCGCCAGCCGACACCCAACUUUAUUUUUCUAAGGUUGACCUCGGAUCAGGUAGGGAUACCCGCUGAACUUAAGCAUAUCAAUAAGCGGAGGAAAAGAAACCAACAGGGAUUGCCUCAGUAACGGCGAGUGAAGCGGCAAGAGCUCAAAUUUGAAAGCUGGCCCCUUCGGGGUCCGCGUUGUAAUUUGCAGAGGAUGCUUCGGGUGCAGCCCCCGUCUAAGUGCCCUGGAACGGGCCGUCAUAGAGGGUGAGAAUCCCGUCUGGGACGGGGUGUCUGCGUCCGUGUGAAGCUCCUUCGACGAGUCGAGUUGUUUGGGAAUGCAGCUCUAAAUGGGUGGUAAAUUUCAUCUAAAGCUAAAUACUGGCCGGAGACCGAUAGCGCACAAGUAGAGUGAUCGAAAGAUGAAAAGCACUUUGAAAAGAGAGUUAAACAGCACGUGAAAUUGUUGAAAGGGAAGCGUUUGCGACCAGACUCGCCCGCGGGGUUCAGCCGGCAUUCGUGCCGGUGUACUUCCCCGUGGGCGGGCCAGCGUCGGUUUGGGCGGCCGGUCAAAGGCCCUCGGAAUGUAUCACCUCUCGGGGUGUCUUAUAGCCGAGGGUGCAAUGCGGCCUGCCUGGACCGAGGAACGCG
This 1113-nucleotide ribosomal RNA is filed under the name Eurotiomycetes sp. genotype 108. RNAcentral's name for it is "eukaryotic LSU rRNA". The stretch from base 519 to 1113 matches the Rfam family "Eukaryotic large subunit ribosomal RNA", at positions 1 to 599 of the family's 3401-position model. The record is from RNAcentral. Lineage: Eukaryota; Fungi; Ascomycota; Eurotiomycetes.